AUGGGCCCCGACGAGCUCCCCAAGGCCGCCGCCGCCGAGGAGGCCGCCCCGUUCUCCUUCAGCAUCUGGCCGCCGACGCAGCGGACGCGGGACGCCGUGGUGCGGCGCCUGGUGGACACCCUGGCCGGCGACACCCUCCUCUGCAAGCGCUACGGCGCCGUGCCGGCCGCCGACGCCGAGCCCGCCGCGCGCGCCAUCGAGGCCGAGGCCUUCGACGCCGCCGCCGUCACCGGCGGGGCCGCCGCCUCCGUCGAGGAGGGCAUCGAGGCGCUGCAGCUCUACUCCAAGGAGGUCAGCCGCCGCCUCCUCGACUUCGUCAAGUCCCGCUCCGCCGCCGCCAAGGCCGAGCCUCCCUCGGAGGAGGCGCCCGCCGUCAAGGAGGAGACCUCCGAGGCCUGA
RNAcentral lists this ribosomal RNA (399 nucleotides) under Triticum aestivum (bread wheat). RNAcentral's name for it is "partial small subunit ribosomal RNA". Lineage: Eukaryota; Viridiplantae; Streptophyta; Magnoliopsida; Poales; Poaceae. The record is from RNAcentral.